UACGAAGGGGGCUAGCGUUGUUCGGAUUUACUGGGCGUAAAGCGCACGUAGGCGGAUCGUUAAGUCGGGGGUGAAAUCCUGGAGCUCAACUCCAGAACUGCCUUUGAUACUGGGGAUCUCGAGUCCGGGGAGAGGUGAGUGGAACUCCGAGUGUAGAGGUGAAAUUCGUAGAUAUUCGGAAGAACACCAGUGGCGAAGGCGCUCACUGGCCCGGUACUGACGCUGAGGCACGAAGGCCAGGGGAGCAAACGGG
Molecule: ribosomal RNA, 253 nt
Filed under: uncultured bacterium
Lineage: Bacteria
Description: partial 16S ribosomal RNA
Rfam family: Bacterial small subunit ribosomal RNA
Source: RNAcentral